UUUUAUGGAGAGUUUGAUCCUGGCUCAGGAUGAACGCUGGCGGCGUGCCUAAUACAUGCAAGUCGAGCGAACGGACGAGAAGCUUGCUUCUCUGAUGUUAGCGGCGGACGGGUGAGUAACACGUGGAUAACCUACCUAUAAGACUGGGAUAACUUCGGGAAACCGGAGCUAAUACCGGAUAAUAUUUUGAUCUGCAUGGUUCAAAAGUAAAAGACGGUCUUGCUGUCACUUAUAGAUGGAUCCGCGCUGCAUUAGCUAGUUGGUAAGGUAACGGCUUACCAAGGCAACGAUGCAUAGCCGACCUGAGAGGGUGAUCGGCCACACUGGAACUGAGACACGGUCCAGACUCCUACGGGAGGCAGCAGUAGGGAAUCUUCCGCAAUGGGCGAAAGCCUGACGGAGCAACGCCGCGUGAGUGAUGAAGGUCUUCGGAUCGUAAAACUCUGUUAUUAGGGAAGAACAUAUGUGUAAGUAACUGUGCACAUCUUGACGGUACCUAAUCAGAAAGCCACGGCUAACUACGUGCCAGCAGCCGCGGUAAUACGUAGGUGGCAAGCGUUAUCCGGAAUUAUUGGGCGUAAAGCGCGCGUAGGCGGUUUUUUAAGUCUGAUGUGAAAGCCCACGGCUCAACCGUGGAGGGUCAUUGGAAACUGGAAAACUUGAGUGCAGAAGAGGAAAGUGGAAUUCCAUGUGUAGCGGUGAAAUGCGCAGAGAUAUGGAGGAACACCAGUGGCGAAGGCGACUUUCUGGUCUGUAACUGACGCUGAUGUGCGAAAGCGUGGGGAUCAAACAGGAUUAGAUACCCUGGUAGUCCACGCCGUAAACGAUGAGUGCUAAGUGUUAGGGGGUUUCCGCCCCUUAGUGCUGCAGCUAACGCAUUAAGCACUCCGCCUGGGGAGUACGACCGCAAGGUUGAAACUCAAAGGAAUUGACGGGGACCCGCACAAGCGGUGGAGCAUGUGGUUUAAUUCGAAGCAACGCGAAGAACCUUACCAAAUCUUGACAUCCUUUGACAACUCUAGAGAUAGAGCUUUCCCCUUCGGGGGACAAAGUGACAGGUGGUGCAUGGUUGUCGUCAGCUCGUGUCGUGAGAUGUUGGGUUAAGUCCCGCAACGAGCGCAACCCUUAAGCUUAGUUGCCAUCAUUAAGUUGGGCACUCUAAGUUGACUGCCGGUGACAAACCGGAGGAAGGUGGGGAUGACGUCAAAUCAUCAUGCCCCUUAUGAUUUGGGCUACACACGUGCUACAAUGGACAAUACAAAGGGCAGCGAAACCGCGAGGUCAAGCAAAUCCCAUAAAGUUGUUCUCAGUUCGGAUUGUAGUCUGCAACUCGACUACAUGAAGCUGGAAUCGCUAGUAAUCGUAGAUCAGCAUGCUACGGUGAAUACGUUCCCGGGUCUUGUACACACCGCCCGUCACACCACGAGAGUUUGUAA
RNAcentral lists this ribosomal RNA (1436 nucleotides) under Staphylococcus aureus. RNAcentral's name for it is "bacterial SSU rRNA". It matches the Rfam family "Bacterial small subunit ribosomal RNA". Lineage: Bacteria; Bacillati; Bacillota; Bacilli; Caryophanales; Staphylococcaceae. The record is from RNAcentral.